This 1318-nucleotide ribosomal RNA is filed under the name Nocardia asteroides. RNAcentral describes it as "bacterial SSU rRNA". It matches the Rfam family "Bacterial small subunit ribosomal RNA", at positions 29 to 1363 of the family's 1533-position model. RNAcentral also lists the same sequence under 1 other name. The record is from RNAcentral. Lineage: Bacteria; Bacillati; Actinomycetota; Actinomycetes; Mycobacteriales; Nocardiaceae.
ACGAACGCUGGCGGCGUGCUUAACACAUGCAAGUCGAGCGGUAAGGCCCUUCGGGGUACACGAGCGGCGAACGGGUGAGUAACACGUGGGUGAUCUGCCUCGUACUCUGGGAUAAGCCUGGGAAACUGGGUCUAAUACCGGAUAUGACCACGAGUCGCAUGGUUUGUGGUGGAAAGAUUUAUCGGUGCGAGAUGGGCCCGCGGCCUAUCAGCUUGUUGGUGGGGUAAUGGCCUACCAAGGCGACGACGGGUAGCCGGCCUGAGAGGGCGACCGGCCACACUGGGACUGAGACACGGCCCAGACUCCUACGGGAGGCAGCAGUGGGGAAUAUUGCACAAUGGGCGGAAGCCUGAUGCAGCGACGCCGCGUGCGGGAUGACGGCCUUCGGGUUGUAAACCGCUUUCGACAGGGACGAAGCGUGAGUGACGGUACCUGUAGAAGAAGCACCGGCCAACUACGUGCCAGCAGCCGCGGUAAUACGUAGGGUGCGAGCGUUGUCCGGAAUUACUGGGCGUAAAGAGCUUGUAGGCGGUUUGUCGCGUCGUUCGUGAAAACUUGGGGCUCAACCCCAAGCUUGCGGGCGAUACGGGCAGACUAGAGUACUGCAGGGGAGACUGGAAUUCCUGGUGUAGCGGUGAAAUGCGCAGAUAUCAGGAGGAACACCGGUGGCGAAGGCGGGUCUCUGGGCAGUAACUGACGCUGAGAAGCGAAAGCGUGGGUAGCGAACAGGAUUAGAUACCCUGGUAGUCCACGNCGUAAACGGUGGGUACUAGGUGUGGGUUUCCUUCCACGGGAUCCGUGCCGUAGCUAACGCAUUAAGUACCCNGCCUGGGGAGUACGGCCGCAAGGCUAAAACUCAAAGGAAUUGACGGGGGCCCGCACAAGCGGCGGAGCAUGUGGAUUAAUUCGAUGCAACGCGAAGAACCUUACCUGGGUUUGACAUACACCAGACGCCGGCAGAGAUGUCGGUUCCCUUGUGGCUGGUGUACAGGUGGUGCAUGGCUGUCGUCAGCUNGUGUCGUGAGAUGUUGGGUUAAGUCCCGCAACGAGCGCAACCCUUGUCCUGUGUUGCCAGCGGAUUAUGCCGGGGACUCGCAGGAGACUGCCGGGGUCAACUCGGAGGAAGGUGGGGACGACGUCAAGUCAUCAUGCCCCUUAUGUCCAGGGCUUCACACAUGCUACAAUGGCCGGUACAGAGGGCUGCGAUAUCGUGAGGUGGAGCGAAUCCCUUAAAGCCGGUCUCAGUUCGGAUCGGGGUCUGCAACUCGACCCCGUGAAGUUGGAGUCGCUAGUAAUCGCAGAUCAGCAACGCUGCGGU